This 246-nucleotide ribosomal RNA is filed under the name uncultured bacterium. Its description in RNAcentral is "partial 16S ribosomal RNA". It matches the Rfam family "Bacterial small subunit ribosomal RNA", at positions 107 to 353 of the family's 1533-position model. The record is from RNAcentral.
UGAGUAAUGUCUGGGAAACUGCCUGAUGGAGGGGGAGUAACUACUGGAAACGGUAGCUAAUACCGCAUAACGUCGCAAGACCAAAGAGGGGGACCUUCGGGCCUCUUGCCAUCAGAUGUGCCCAGAUGGGAUUAGCUAGUAGGUGGGGUAACGGCUCACCUAGGCGACGAUCCCUAGCUGGUCUGAGAGGAUGACCAGCCACACUGGAGCUGAGACACGGUCCAGACUCCUACGGGAGGCAGCAUG